RNAcentral lists this transfer RNA (70 nucleotides) under Marmota monax (woodchuck). It matches the Rfam family "tRNA". From Rfam's summary of the family: Transfer RNA (tRNA) molecules are approximately 80 nucleotides in length. Their secondary structure includes four short double-helical elements and three loops (D, anti-codon, and T loops). Lineage: Eukaryota; Metazoa; Chordata; Mammalia; Rodentia; Sciuridae. The record is from Rfam by way of RNAcentral.
UGGACUGUGGCUCAGAGGUAGAGCACUUGCCUGGCAUGUGUGAGGCACUGGGUUCAAUUCUCAGCACCAA